RNAcentral lists this ribosomal RNA (253 nucleotides) under uncultured bacterium. Its description in RNAcentral is "partial 16S ribosomal RNA". It matches the Rfam family "Bacterial small subunit ribosomal RNA", at positions 524 to 776 of the family's 1533-position model. The record is from RNAcentral.
UACGUAGGGUGCGAGCGUUAAUCGGAAUUACUGGGCGUAAAGCGUGCGCAGGCGGUUCUCCAAGUCCGUUGUGAAAGCCCCGGGCUCAACCUGGGAAUGGCAGUGGAAACUAGGGGACUGGAAUCUGGCAGAGGGGGGUGGAAUGCCGCGUGUAGCAGUGAAAUGCGUAGAGAUGCGGAGGAACACCGAUGGCGAAGGCAGCCCCCUGGGCUAGCACUGACGCUCAGGCACGAAAGCGUGGGGAGCAAACAGG